GUUUCUGUCUGUAUCUGUAAUGGAUUGAUGAUGGUAGUUAGAAUCUGGUGUCCUUUUCCUCUCUCUCUCUCUCUCUCUCUCUCUCUCUCUCUCUCUCUCUCUCUCUCUCUCUCUCUCUCUCUCCUCCUCUCUCGCUCUCUCGAGCUCCUCCAAUGAAAUGAUAAACAGCCGUUUCCAUUUUCCAGUUUAACACCAAGAGAGCGAGAAGAGUUUGUUCAGAGACGGGUCAUCCGGUGUGUGCGUGCGUGCGUGCGUGUGUGCGUGCGUGCGCGUGUGUGUGUGUGUGUGUGUGUGCGCCCGCAGCAUAGUCUACUUGCGAAUUCAGAACUAUUCACUCGAAUCAAUUUGUAUGAAUAGCUACAACGUUUAAGGUCAGAGGUGAGGUGAGUUUUCGCUCCUUCUGUUACUUCAUUAGCAGGAAAUUCAACCACGCCGCCCUGAAUUAUUUCAAUAACUACACGUUUUUCAUGAGUGUGUGUGUGUGUGUGUGUGUGUGAGAGAGAGAGAGAGGGAGAGAGAGAACCUCAGGGUCUCCUGUGGCGUAGCCUGAUUGUUCAUCUACUCUCCUCCUAAGGAAAAAGGGAUGGAGGGAGAAGGAAAGUAAUAGAUAAAGAAUAAGAGUGUUCGUACAACAGUAGCGCUUCUCUGAUUAAGAGUCCGAGUCGGAGCUACAAGCUUCUCUGACUUCUUAACAAUAAUAGCUUUGAAUAAAUCCAAGGCUGCGUUUUUACAUACGCAGUGUUCCGUCUGUUCGAGUAGAACUUUGACGCGUUUUCCUCCCAGGAAAUUACCACAGCGAUUGCACCCGGGAGCAGACCAAACGAACCGGUUCGAGAGGAUCUGAGUGAGGUUAUAUCCGUCUCUUUAUACGUGAACGGGGGAAGGUAGAAACUAUUCGAUUCUGAAUCGACACGGCUGAAGGACGUGAAUGUCUUCUCAACGUGAUGUACAAAAUCCGUUGUAAUACUGGGUGUAUAUAUAUAUAUACACACACACAAUACCGUUCAAAAGUUUGUGGACACCCGACCGAAAUGUUUCUCACGAUCUUAAAAAGCUUUCGAUCUGAAGGUGUGUGGUUAAACGCGUGAAACCGGUGUCGUAGACGAAAAUAGAAUCGCGCCGACGUGUUCGUUUCUUUCGUUAGAAAACGUACAUUUUAUCUACCAAAAAAUAUAGAUAUAUAUUUUUUUUUAAAUGGACGACUCGGAGCGCAAUAUUUUUCCGAAAAGCAGCCGAUGAGAGUCCGGCGUCGGUGGGAACUCCUUUAAUACUGUUUAAAAAAGCAGCUCGGGGAAAUUCCUCGAGAAAUCGCUCGAGAAAACGGCGAGAAUACAUUUCGGGAAAUUCUAGGAGAAAAGGGCGUCGACUUCGAAGAUGCUAGAUAUAUAAUGCAUGCUGAAUUAUUCUGAUUUAUUUGGAUUUUUUUUUUAUCAAAACAUAAUUCCCAUUUGUGUUACUCCAGAGUUUUG
Ictalurus punctatus (channel catfish) is the source of this 1469-nucleotide long non-coding RNA. NCBI's taxonomy places the organism in Eukaryota, Metazoa, Chordata, Actinopteri, Siluriformes, Ictaluridae. The record is from Ensembl.